Molecule: long non-coding RNA, 992 nt
Filed under: Meleagris gallopavo (turkey)
Lineage: Eukaryota; Metazoa; Chordata; Aves; Galliformes; Phasianidae
Description: lncRNA (ENSMGAG00000018022.1)
Source: RNAcentral
UAUUUUUAGUACUAUGUACCAAAAAGAAAAUCAACAGAAUUUAUUUUUAUAGAAUAAAAGCUGCUUUCAUUCUGGAAGCCUUUGACUUUCAUGCUGUCAGCUCUGAAUAUAAUUUCAAAUACUUUUUCCAUGUUUAAUUGUCUCAUUGCUAACAAAGAUCUAUUCUUUCGAUUGGAAUAAAAAAAAGGUAACUAGAUAUAUUUCUUUUAAAGCAUGAAUGAAAUCCAUGAGCGAAUAUCUCUGGAACUUUAUUGAAAAUACAUUUUUAAAGUAAUGUAGUUUUAUGGUAGAAGGCAUCAAUAGGUCAUACGCAUAUGACCACAUAACAGAAAUAUCUAUAGAUUCUUGAUUGUAUUUUUCUUAACAUACAACUUGCAAAAGAGGAGAAGAGAAUGGCACACGGAUAGAGAAAAAGAGAGAAGGAAUGAAAGAAAAGAAAGGAAGAUGUUUUAUAAUUAAAAAUUAUUUCUGGUGUUUAUCAAAAUAAAAUUUAAAAUAUAGUUAUCCUGCAGGAGAGUGAAAUAUAAUCAACGUCCUCAGUGCACUGUAACUGCACAUUUUAAUGCACAUUUUAAUAAUUUGUAUUAAUAUCUUGCGUUUUUGCAUAUUUCACAGGCAGCACUUUACAGCCAUUCUGCUGUAAUUCAGAAUGGGAUUUUAGAGUUAGAAGAGUGCAUUCAAGAUGAAGUCAAUAGAGUUAUCAUGAUGACUUCUCCACUGUGUACCACCCUAACAGCACUAAGAUUUUGUUCAUUCAGUAAGAUGUUUGCAGCUUUGGCUCUGGAGCAGUCCUCGGACACAGUCAAAUGGCAAUGCCAGUCUGUGAAUCUGAACAGCCUCAAUAUGAAAUCUCCCAGCACAACUAUGUAGUAAUACAAGCUGCCUUAGGGGAAUGACUCCAGGCUGAUCUUAGUGGCUAUUACAAUAGAAAGUGGUAAAACAAAUGUUGAGGAAUUUCAAUGCCACUUCAAGAGCAGAGAGAUUCAAGGAGG